RNAcentral lists this ribosomal RNA (258 nucleotides) under Thiessea sphaeriostoma. Its description in RNAcentral is "partial 16S ribosomal RNA". It matches the Rfam family "Archaeal large subunit ribosomal RNA", at positions 2021 to 2557 of the family's 2987-position model. Lineage: Eukaryota; Metazoa; Mollusca; Gastropoda; Stylommatophora; Helicidae. The record is from RNAcentral.
GACUGUGCAAAGGUAGCAUAAUCAGUUGACUCUUAAUUGGGGCCGGGAAUGAACGAAUAUACGGAGAAGAGCUGUCCCUUUAGUGUAUGCGAAUUUGGUUAACAAGUGCAAAUACUUGUGUUAUUAAAUAAGACGAGAAGACCCUUGAAGCUUUAAAGAAUUCUUUUGUUGGGGCGACAGAAUUACAUUUAACUAAUUUGUUAAGACCUGAAGGCUUUCAUGCACGUUUAAGCUACUCGAGGGAUAACAGCAUAAUUU